This 658-nucleotide ribosomal RNA is filed under the name uncultured bacterium. RNAcentral's name for it is "bacterial SSU rRNA". It matches the Rfam family "Bacterial small subunit ribosomal RNA", at positions 33 to 686 of the family's 1533-position model. The record is from RNAcentral.
ACGCUGGCGGCAGGCCUAACACAUGCAAGUCGAGCGGUAGAGAGAAGCUUGCUUCUCUUGAGAGCGGCGGACGGGUGAGUAAUGCCUAGGAAUCUGCCUGGUAGUGGGGGAUAACGUUCGGAAACGGACGCUAAUACCGCAUACGUCCUACGGGAGAAAGCAGGGGACCUUCGGGCCUUGCGCUAUCAGAUGAGCCUAGGUCGGAUUAGCUAGUUGGUGGGGUAAUGGCUCACCAAGGCGACGAUCCGUAACUGGUCUGAGAGGAUGAUCAGUCACACUGGAACUGAGACACGGUCCAGACUCCUACGGGAGGCAGCAGUGGGGAAUAUUGGACAAUGGGCGAAAGCCUGAUCCAGCCAUGCCGCGUGUGUGAAGAAGGUCUUCGGAUUGUAAAGCACUUUAAGUUGGGAGGAAGGGUUGUAGAUUAAUACUCUGCAAUUUUGACGUUACCGACAGAAUAAGCACCGGCUAACUCUGUGCCAGCAGCCGCGGUAAUACAGAGGGUGCAAGCGUUAAUCGGAAUUACUGGGCGUAAAGCGCGCGUAGGUGGUUUGUUAAGUUGGAUGUAAAAUCCCCGGGCUCAACCUGGGAACUGCAUUCAAACUGACUGACUAGAGUAUGGUAGAGGGGUGGUGGAAUUUCCUGUGUAGCGGUGAAA